CCUACGGGGGGCAGCAGUGGGGAAUCUUCCGCAAUGGACGAAAGUCUGACGGAGCAACGCCGCGUGAGUGAAGACGGCCUUCGGGUUGUAAAGCUCUGUGAUUCGGGACGAAAGGCCAUAUGUGAAUAAUAUAUGGAAAUGACGGUACCGAAAAAGCAAGCCACGGCUAACUACGUGCCAGCAGCCGCGGUAAUACGUAGGUGGCAAGCGUUGUCCGGAAUUAUUGGGCGUAAAGCGCGCGCAGGCGGUCUCUUAAGUCUAUCUUAGAAGUGCGGGGCUUAACCCCGUGAGGGGAUGGAAACUGGGAGACUGGAGUAUCGGAGAGGAAAGUGGAAUUCCUAGUGUAGCGGUGAAAUGCGUAGAUAUUAGGAAGAACACCGGUGGCGAAGGCGACUUUCUGGACGAAAACUG
Molecule: ribosomal RNA, 411 nt
Filed under: uncultured Leptotrichia sp.
Lineage: Bacteria; Fusobacteriati; Fusobacteriota; Fusobacteriia; Fusobacteriales; Leptotrichiaceae
Description: bacterial SSU rRNA
Rfam family: Bacterial small subunit ribosomal RNA
Source: RNAcentral